AGGGUUUGAUUAUGGCUCAGGAUGAACGCUAGCUACAGGCUUAACACAUGCAAGUCGAGGGGAAACGACAUCGAAAGCUUGCUUUUGAUGGGUGUCGACCGGCGCACGGGUGAGUAACGCGUAUCCAACCUACCCACCACUUGGGGAUAACCUUGCGAAAGUAAGACUAAUACCCAAUGAUAUCUCUAGAAGACAUCUGAAAGAGAUUAAAGAUUUAUCGGUGAUGGAUGGGGAUGCGUCUGAUUAGCUUGUUGGCGGGGUAACGGCCCACCAAGGCAACGAUCAGUAGGGGUUCUGAGAGGAAGGUCCCCCACAUUGGAACUGAGACACGGUCCAA
This 337-nucleotide ribosomal RNA is filed under the name uncultured bacterium. RNAcentral's name for it is "bacterial SSU rRNA". It matches the Rfam family "Bacterial small subunit ribosomal RNA", at positions 8 to 334 of the family's 1533-position model. The record is from RNAcentral.